Molecule: ribosomal RNA, 424 nt
Filed under: uncultured bacterium
Lineage: Bacteria
Description: bacterial SSU rRNA
Rfam family: Bacterial small subunit ribosomal RNA
Source: RNAcentral
GGGCCCGCACAAGCGGUGGAUUAUGUGGUUUAAUUCGAAGCAACGCGCAGAACCUUACCUAGGCUUGAAAUCCUACGAAUCCGGCCCAAAAGCUGGAGUGCCCCUCGGGGAAUGUAGAGACAGGCGCUGCAUGGCUGUCGUCAGCUCGUGUCGUGAGAUGUUGGGUUAAGUCUCGCAACGAGCGCAACCCCUAUCUUUAGUUGCCAGCAUUAAGUUGGGCACUCUAGAGAGACUGCCUGGGUUAACCAGGAGGAAGGUGGGGAUGACGUCAAGUCCUCAUGGCCCUUAUGCCUAGGGCUACACACGUAAUACAAUGGUUAGUACAGAGGGAAGCGAACUCGCGAGGGGAGCUAAUCUCAAAAAGCUAAUCUCAGUCCGGAUUGGAGUCUGCAACUCGACUCCAUGAAGUUGGAAUCGCUAGUAA